GGCAACUGCUUCUGAAUGGUCUUAAGUCUUUUGUUUUUGGUCCGAUCAAGAUUUCCGUUUGAGAGCACAUGUACUUAAAUGAAAAAUUUCGCUUACAGUGAAAUGUAAAUUUAGAAUUUCUCAGACUGCAUUCUAAGGUCAAUAACUCCAACUGCAGAAUUUGUGGUCAUAAAAUCUAAAGUGAAAUUGCUGAUGAGCCAUCCGUUGAAUAAAUAUUUUUGUGUCAAACUUCGUACCAGACGUCCUAAUGCAAACGUUCUCUUUGUUUACAAAUAAUUCGGGUUUAGGGAAAUUAUUUAUACUUCGAAACAAGUUUAAUAGCCUACGUCAAAAUGACUUGUUUGACCCAAACACAAUGUAAAUAAGUCAUCGUUCGAUUUUUCUUUGUCCAAUAACUUGAGUGUUGACUUGAUGAAAAUUUUAUAUGGAGCUGAAAGUGUUUUUCUUUAUUGCGGGAAAUAAAUGUUUCAUUAAUUGUAUUAAUUUAACAGCAACGCGGAAUGAUUUGAUAUUAUUUGUUCUGUUUGAAGCUGACAGGAUUCUUUGUCUCGGUAUGUUUUAAGUACAGAGUGCUAAGGUCGUUUGGGCUUCCUCGUUAGUUCGAAUUUUCCGCCUUCACACGUUGGUAUGAGGCAAGGAGUUAUUUUAAUUUGAACUGUCAGUGUUUAUUCCUCAUGUCAUGUUCAUUUUAAUUGUUCGUAGUGGAUAGAAAUAAUUAUGCCUCAUUCCUAUUAAUCGUUUUACUACCUAGGGAAAUCAUUCUAUGACUACCGCAAGUAUAGGGUAAACUGGGUUCGGUUGUGCCAGGGUACAGUAGUGACAGUCGCAAUUGUAACGAAACUAUACGUAAUACGGGGGAGGAGUGUGAGGGAGAAAGACGUGGCUCACAAGCCUAAACACGUUCCCCAAUAUUGCGUUAGCCGGCGCACUACGUUGACGUAAGCAGGAGCCCACACUGCUUUUCAACAAUCAAAAAUGUCCAGAAUACGUUUGUGCAAGACCGAAAGAGCGCAUUGUGAUAUCAAAAAAUAUAAAGAUGCCGAUGAACAAGUGAAACAAGGGAUUUCGGACGUGUAGCUCAAGCUACAAGCCUUUCUACAGCUACAAGUUUUAACAGAGCAAAUGUUGUUUUGUUGAUUGUUAAAACUAUGUUUGUAAGCUUAAUAUGUUAAACAUUUCUAUAAUAAAAGAUAUUAUAGACCA
Long non-coding RNA from Helicoverpa armigera (cotton bollworm), 1203 nucleotides. RefSeq lists it as uncharacterized. The transcript is spliced from 2 exons. The record is from RefSeq and is a predicted model, not a curated record. NCBI's taxonomy places the organism in Eukaryota, Metazoa, Arthropoda, Insecta, Lepidoptera, Noctuidae.